Molecule: ribosomal RNA, 460 nt
Filed under: uncultured bacterium
Lineage: Bacteria
Description: partial 16S ribosomal RNA
Rfam family: Bacterial small subunit ribosomal RNA
Source: RNAcentral
CCUACGGGUGGCAGCAGUGAGGAAUAUUGGUCAAUGGGCGAGAGCCUGAUCCAGCGAAGUCGCGUGAAGGAUGAAGGAUCUAUGGUUUGUAAGCUUCUUUUAUAUGGGAGUAAAGUGAGGUACGUGUUCCUUUUUGUAUGUACCAUAUGAUUACGCAUCGGCUAACGCCGUGUCAGCAGCCGCGGUAAUACGGAGGAUGCGAGCGUUAUCCGGAUUUAUUGGGUUUAAAGGGUGCGUAGGUGGUUAAUUAAGUCAGCGGUGAAAGUUUGUGGCUCAACCAUAAAAUUGCCGUUGAAACUGGUUGACUUGAGUAUAUUUGAGGUAGGCGGAAUGCGUGGUGUAGCGGUGAAAUGCAUAGAUAUCACGAAGAACUCCAAUUGCGAAGGCAGCUUACUAGACUAUAACUGACACUGAGGCACGAAAGCGUGGGGAUCAAACAGGAUUAGAUACCCGGGUAGUC